RNAcentral lists this transfer RNA (65 nucleotides) under Lyponia delicatula. RNAcentral describes it as "tRNA-Glu". Lineage: Eukaryota; Metazoa; Arthropoda; Insecta; Coleoptera; Lycidae. The record is from RNAcentral.
AUUUCUAUUAAUAUAGUUUAAAAACAUUACAUUUUCAUUGUAAAAUUAAAAUUAAGUUUUUAUUA